RNAcentral lists this ribosomal RNA (1444 nucleotides) under uncultured organism. RNAcentral describes it as "SSU rRNA". It matches the Rfam family "Bacterial small subunit ribosomal RNA". The record is from RNAcentral.
GCGACAGGCUUAACACAUGCAAGUCGAGGGGCAGCGGGGGUAGCGAUACCCGCCGGCGACCGGCGCACGGGUGAGUAACGCGUAUGCAACUUGCCUAUCAGAGGGGGAUAACCCGGCGAAAGUCGGACUAAUACCGCAUGAAGCAGGGGCCCCGCAUGGGGAUAUUUGCUAAAGAUUCAUCGCUGAUAGAUAGGCAUGCGUUCCAUUAGGCAGUUGGCGGGGUAACGGCCCACCAAACCGACGAUGGAUAGGGGUUCUGAGAGGAAGGUCCCCCACAUUGGUACUGAGACACGGACCAAACUCCUACGGGAGGCAGCAGUGAGGAAUAUUGGUCAAUGGCCGAGAGGCUGAACCAGCCAAGUCGCGUGAGGGAUGAAGGUUCUAUGGAUCGUAAACCUCUUUUAUAAGGGAAUAAAGUGCGGGACGUGUCCCGUUUUGUAUGUACCUUAUGAAUAAGGAUCGGCUAACUCCGUGCCAGCAGCCGCGGUAAUACGGAGGAUCCGAGCGUUAUCCGGAUUUAUUGGGUUUAAAGGGUGCGUAGGCGGCCUUUUAAGUCAGCGGUGAAAGUCUGUGGCUCAACCAUAGAAUUGCCGUUGAAACUGGGGGGCUUGAGUAUGUUUGAGGCAGGCGGAAUGCGUGGUGUAGCGGUGAAAUGCAUAGAUAUCACGCAGAACCCCGAUUGCGAAGGCAGCCUGCCAAGCCAUUACUGACGCUGAUGCACGAAAGCGUGGGGAUCAAACAGGAUUAGAUACCCUGGUAGUCCACGCAGUAAACGAUGAUCACUAGCUGUUUGCGAUACACUGUAAGCGGCACAGCGAAAGCGUUAAGUGAUCCACCUGGGGAGUACGCCGGCAACGGUGAAACUCAAAGGAAUUGACGGGGGCCCGCACAAGCGGAGGAACAUGUGGUUUAAUUCGAUGAUACGCGAGGAACCUUACCCGGGUUUGAACGCAUUCGGACCGAGGUGGAAACACCUUUUCUAGCAAUAGCCGUUUGCGAGGUGCUGCAUGGUUGUCGUCAGCUCGUGCCGUGAGGUGUCGGCUUAAGUGCCAUAACGAGCGCAACCCUUGCCACUAGUUACUAACAGGUAGAGCUGAGGACUCUGGUGGGACUGCCAGCGUAAGCUGCGAGGAAGGCGGGGAUGACGUCAAAUCAGCACGGCCCUUACAUCCGGGGCGACACACGUGUUACAAUGGCGUGGACAAAGGGAGGCCACCUGGCGACAGGGAGCGAAUCCCCAAACCACGUCUCAGUUCGGAUCGGAGUCUGCAACCCGACUCCGUGAAGCUGGAUUCGCUAGUAAUCGCGCAUCAGCCAUGGCGCGGUGAAUACGUUCCCGGGCCUUGUACACACCGCCCGUCAAGCCAUGGGAGCCGGGGGUACCUGAAGUCCGUAACCGAAAGGAUCGGCCUAGGGUAAAACUGGUGACUGGGGCUAAGUCGUA